ACACCAGACUCCUACGGGAGGCAGCAGUGGGGAAUAUUGGGCAAUGGGCGCAAGCCUGACCCAGCAACGCCGCGUGAAGGAAGAAGGCCCUCGGGUUGUAAUCUUCUUUUAUCAGGGACGAAACAAAUGACGGUACCUGAUGGAUAAGCCACGGCUAACUACGUGCCAGCAGCCGCGGUAAUACGUAGGUGGCAAGCGUUGUCCGGAUUUACUGGGUGUAAAGGGCGUGCAGCCGGAGAGACAAGUCAGAUGUGAAAUCCACGGGCUCAACCCGUGAACUGCAUUUGAAACUGUUGAUCUUGAGUACUGGAGAGGCAGACGGAAUUCCUAGUGUAGCGGUGAAAUGCGUAGAUAUUAGGAGGAACACCAGUGGCGAAGGCGGUCUGCUGGACAGCAACUGACGGUGAGGCGCGAAAGCGUGGGGAGCAAACAGGAUUAGAUACCCCCGUA
RNAcentral lists this ribosomal RNA (450 nucleotides) under uncultured bacterium. Its description in RNAcentral is "bacterial SSU rRNA". It matches the Rfam family "Bacterial small subunit ribosomal RNA", at positions 328 to 792 of the family's 1533-position model. The record is from RNAcentral.